This is a small nuclear RNA of Nomascus leucogenys (northern white-cheeked gibbon), 107 nucleotides long. Lineage: Eukaryota; Metazoa; Chordata; Mammalia; Primates; Hylobatidae. The record is from Ensembl.
GUGCUCGCUUCGGCAGCACAUAUACUAAAAUUGGAACGAUACAGAGAAGAUUAGCAUGGCCCCUGCACAAGGAUGACACCCAAAUUCGUGAAGCAUUCCAUAUUAAA